GGAAUAUUGGACAAUGGGCGCAAGCCUGAUCCAGCCAUGCCGCGUGAGUGAUGAAGGCCCUAGGGUUGUAAAGCUCUUUCGCCAGGGACGAUAAUGACGGUACCUGGAUAAGAAGCCCCGGCUAACUUCGUGCCAGCAGCCGCGGUAAUACGAAGGGGGCUAGCGUUGUUCGGAAUCACUGGGCGUAAAGCGCAUGCAGGCGGAUCAGUCAGCCAGGGGUGAAAUCCCGAGGCUCAACCUCGGAACUGCCUUUGAUUCUGCUGAUCUUGAGUCCGGGAGAGGUGAGUGGAACUCCGAGUGUAGAGGUGAAAUUCGUAGAUAUUCGGAAGAACACCAGUGGCGAAGGCGGCUCACUGGCCCGGUACUGACGCUGAGAUGCGAAAGCGUGGGGAGCAAA
This 397-nucleotide ribosomal RNA is filed under the name uncultured bacterium. RNAcentral's name for it is "bacterial SSU rRNA". It matches the Rfam family "Bacterial small subunit ribosomal RNA", at positions 358 to 772 of the family's 1533-position model. The record is from RNAcentral.